AGUAGGCAAAGAUUUCUUAGAACCAAGAAAGCAUAUUUUGUAAGAGAAAAAAAAAUAAUUUGAAGAACUGGACUUUCUCAAAGUUAUAAACUUUUGCUCUUUGAAGGGCACAUUAAGAAUAUAACAAGACCAGGAAACUGAUGUCCAAAGAGACAAGCUUUACCAAGGCCACCAGCAUGCCAAAGAGCUAGACGAGGACGUGGUAUCACCCCGACCCAGCCCAGUGCUCUCCUAGGAGAGGAUCUUGAAAAAUAUUCAGUAACUAAAGCUAACUUCAGGUUGUUGGUCAUCUCCUUCGAAUUAUCAGCAUUAAAUGUAAAACUUAUUCUGCCUGUGUUUACCGAAAGUCAGAGGCACAAACAAGGUUGGAACGGAGAGAGAAAGCAACCGAAGAAGAUGCUGAGGGUUUCAAUUCUAUCAACUUGGGCAGACUACCAGAGAGGUAAACAUUCAGUUUGCUGAUGUAAACGUUGGGAAGAGGGGAACGAGAGGAGUGGAGAAAGGUUUUAACCAAUGAAAAUAACUCUUCCUUAAUUAACUCUAUUAAAUGCAU
Molecule: long non-coding RNA, 553 nt
Organism: Lontra canadensis (Northern American river otter)
Lineage: Eukaryota; Metazoa; Chordata; Mammalia; Carnivora; Mustelidae
Exons: 4
Source: RefSeq, a predicted model, not a curated record